UAUACUAAUUAAUAAAUAGUUAUUUAUUUCAAAUUUUUUAAAGAGCUGAAGUAUUAGCAUUUCUUUGUGUUUCCCUGCGUCUUAGGCAAAAUAUGCAAUUUUUUGCCACAAAGUGGGAAAAAACACAGGGCUGUUUAUUUUUAGCGCAGGGAAAUUUGAUGAUUGUAGACGCAGAAAAUAUCAGAUAACAAAAGGCAGUAAUAAAAUGUGUUUUUAAAAUACAUUCAAAUAAUAAAUUAUAUGCUGGCACUUCAUUGGCAAAUAAGAUGAACACAGAGUGCGUGUUAUAUAAUGAGCGCCACAUCCUCUUGCCUUUCCUCUCCCUGCCGCAGGGGGGCACUGUCGCUCAUAGCGCCUGUUCCGGUGGGAUCGCAAGAAGAAAUACAGGCUAAUAGAUAAAUACGUCUCACAUCUUGGAAAAAUACGAGACGCAGGUGAAAAAACGGAAAGCUCAAAUGAGGUGGACAUACAUUCCGAGGACAACGUGGAGGCGGGGGAAGACGGCGGGCAACACGGAAGACCUGUUAACUGUGAAAGUGUUGAUGCUAGCCAAGCUAGCUCAGGUGAAGCUAACCUGGUCCGCUGGGCGGCAAUUAGCUCACCUGUGGACACCUGCGUGAGCGCUCCUGUUCCGAACUGAGAAGAAGAAGAAGAAGAAGAAGAAGAAGAAGAAAAAAGACACAAACACAAACCAACAGAUACUUUUACUGUGUGAAAAAAAGAAGAAGAAAGGAUUGAAUGUGCCCUGGUGGCACUGGUGGACCAGAGGAAGACCCAGAACAAACACCUGGUUUCAAGAUUUUCUCCCAAGGAGCUGGGAUAGCGAGUCGAGGAGUCAUCAGUGUCAAACUUAACAUGAGGAUCAUCCAUCAUGCUGCCUCCUGACUAAUGCCGGUCACCGAGGAGGAAUCUAUUGCAGUGACUCGCCGUGGCGACAAUUCGAUGAACAGGAGGCUGGUUUAUGAUUGAUAGACCGGCGUCUGAGGCUAUCACUUCUCUUCCCCAUCCCGUCUCCCAGCAGACUUACCUCGACCCAAGACGGGACCUAUUCCAAAUGAAAGAUUGAGAAGUCGUCCUCAGUUAGAAUUCCUCUCCC
Molecule: long non-coding RNA, 1096 nt
Organism: Scophthalmus maximus (turbot)
Lineage: Eukaryota; Metazoa; Chordata; Actinopteri; Pleuronectiformes; Scophthalmidae
Exons: 4
Source: RefSeq, a predicted model, not a curated record